Molecule: long non-coding RNA, 659 nt
Organism: Hermetia illucens (black soldier fly)
Lineage: Eukaryota; Metazoa; Arthropoda; Insecta; Diptera; Stratiomyidae
Exons: 3
Source: RefSeq, a predicted model, not a curated record
CUUGGAGUUCCCAUAUGCUAAACUCUUAUCCUGGAUUUGCGAUGCGCAUAAUGAGAUGUCAGUUUGCGUAUUGCACUUAUUGUGAACCGGUCGUAAGAGUCAAGGAAAUGCCAGCUCCUACAUCAUAUUUGUCCUCUAGUGAGGUGAAUUCACAGCCAAUCACAGGCAAGCGGAGCGUAACGAGAGUAAUCUCUUAAUUAACUUGGAAGUUAGAGUCUAAAUAGUUUUCAUAACUUGGGGCCAAAAGGUAAUCAAGCAGAAUGUUCAUGUAAAAGUCAAUGAUAGUGAAGCGAUAGUGAAAUCACUUAAAUGGAUCAAUCGAAAUCAAUUAGGUCAAAGUCUGGAAUGAAAUCUUCAUCUCAAAGAUUAUUGGAAUCAAUUAAUAGAAAGUGAUGGGAGGAAUGAUUAUUCAAAGAUUUUACGAUCACUUCAUUGGAUCAAUAGCAGUCUAGAAAUGUGAGGAACGAUGGAUGAGGUAACUUGCCCUUCCAUAAUGGGAAUCGCGUCCUCGUGAUCCUCAUUGAUAUCUACCAUGAUAUUUGCAUUGUUUAUCUUUGUUUUACAACAAAAGUAUAUUAUUGGCAAAAUAAUCAAUAUUGCGGUUUUCCAAAUGUUUAUGAUGAACAUAUUACAAAGUCAAAUUACUAUAUUCCCCACAG